Molecule: ribosomal RNA, 253 nt
Filed under: uncultured bacterium
Lineage: Bacteria
Description: partial 16S ribosomal RNA
Rfam family: Bacterial small subunit ribosomal RNA
Source: RNAcentral
UACGUAGGGUGCGAGCGUUAAUCGGAAUUACUGGGCGUAAAGCGUGCGCAGGCGGUUCGACAAGUCCGAUGUGAAAGCCCCGGGCUCAACCUGGGAAUGGCAUUGGAAACUGGCGAGCUUGAGUGUGGCAGAGGGGGGUGGAAUUCCGCGUGUAGCAGUGAAAUGCGUAGAGAUGCGGAGGAACACCGAUGGCGAAGGCAGCCCCCUGGGCUAACACUGACGCUCAUGCACGAAAGCGUGGGGAGCAAACAGG